CCUACGGGGGGCUGCAGUGAGGAAUAUUGGUCAAUGGGCGCGAGCCUGAACCAGCCAAGUCGCGUGAGGGAGGACGGCCCUACGGGUUAUAAACCUCUUUUGCCGGGGAGCAACGGGCGUCACGUGUGGCGCCACUGAGAGUACCCGGAGACAAAGCAUCGGCUAACUCCGUGCCAACAGCCGCGGUAAUACGGAGGAUGCGAGGGUUUUCCGGAUUUAUUGGGUUUAAAGGGUGCGUAGGCGGAUCGUUAAGUCAGUGGGCAAAGUGAGGGGCUCAACCCCUUCCCGCCAUUGAAACUGGCGCUCUUGAGUGGAAGAGAGGUAUGCGGAAUGCGGGGCGUAGCGGUGAAAUGCAUAGAUAUCACGCAGAACCCCGAUUGCGAAGGCAGCAUGCCGGCUUCCGACUGACGCUGAAGCACGAAAGCGUGGGGAUCGAACAGGAUUAGAUACCCGGGUAGUC
RNAcentral lists this ribosomal RNA (460 nucleotides) under uncultured bacterium. Its description in RNAcentral is "partial 16S ribosomal RNA". It matches the Rfam family "Bacterial small subunit ribosomal RNA", at positions 338 to 795 of the family's 1533-position model. The record is from RNAcentral.